RNAcentral lists this ribosomal RNA (679 nucleotides) under uncultured bacterium. RNAcentral describes it as "bacterial SSU rRNA". It matches the Rfam family "Bacterial small subunit ribosomal RNA", at positions 139 to 813 of the family's 1533-position model. The record is from RNAcentral.
GGGGAUAAUCGGGAGAAAUCCCGUCUAAUACCGCGUAAUGCCGCGGGGCUGCAUGGCCCUGCGGCCAAAGGGAGCGAUUCCGGCAACGGAUGGGCAUGCGUGACAUUAGCUAGUUGGCGGGGCAACGGCCCACCAAGGCGACGAUGUCUAGGGGUUCUGAGAGGAAGGUCCCCCACACUGGUACUGAGACACGGACCAGACUCCUACGGGAGGCAGCAGUGAGGAAUAUUGGUCAAUGGGCGCGAGCCUGAACCAGCCAAGUCGCGUGAGGGAUGACGGCCCUACGGGCUGUAAACCUCUUUUGUCGGGGAGCAAAAGACGCCACGCGUGGCGUUCCGAGAGUACCCGAAGAAAAAGCAUCGGCUAACUCCGUGCCAGCAGCCGCGGUAAUACGGAGGAUGCGAGCGUUAUCCGGAUUUAUUGGGUUUAAAGGGUGCGCAGGCGGAAGAUCAAGUCAGCGGUAAAAUUGAGAGGCUCAACCUCUUCGAGCCGUUGAAACUGGUUUUCUUGAGUGAGCGAGAAGUAUGCGGAAUGCGUGGUGUAGCGGUGAAAUGCAUAGAUAUCACGCAGAACUCCGAUUGCGAAGGCAGCAUACCGGCGCUCAACUGACGCUCAUGCACGAAAGUGUGGGUAUCGAACAGGAUUAGAUACCCUGGUAGUCCACACAGUAAACGAUGAA